RNAcentral lists this ribosomal RNA (253 nucleotides) under uncultured bacterium. RNAcentral describes it as "partial 16S ribosomal RNA". It matches the Rfam family "Bacterial small subunit ribosomal RNA", at positions 524 to 776 of the family's 1533-position model. The record is from RNAcentral.
UACGGAAGGGGCAAGCGUUGUUCGGAAUCAUUGGGCGUAAAGGGCGCGUAGGUGGUUCUGUAUGUCUACCGUGAAAGCAUACAGCUCAACUGUAUUUUGUCGGUAGAAACUGCAGGACUUGAGGCUGGGAGGGGCUGGUGGAAUUCCCUGUGUAGCGGUGAAAUGCGCAGAUAUCAGGAGGAACACCAGCGGCGAAGGCGGCGCUCUGGGCCGGAACUGACGCUGAGGAGCGAAAGCGUGGGUAGCAAACAGG